UGGCUAUAGCAAUUUUAUUUAAAACACUGCAGCUGACCCCACCCUGUGGUUUGCAAUGAUGUAUGACUUAGGAUAUCAAGGCAUUUCUUUAAGAAAUCUUUGCAAGCAUAUUUGUGCUUUGACAAGAGACAGUAGGAAAUUGUUUUUGCUAGAAGCGCAAAAGCCUGGACCACACAAGGACAAACAGAAGCACUUCAGUUAUUAUUCAACCUCACCCCUAGACUUUCCUUAUGUUCACAACAGCAAUUUAGUUUCAAACUUGGGCAAGUUCACAUGACAAAAUCCAGCAGACUUAUUUUUGAUGCAGUAAAAACAAGUCCAUGACAUCAAGUGUAUUGACAUGGCAACCAAAGACUAGUUUUAGUCCCAAUUAGUUUGACUGGUGCUUCCUCGUGAUUCCAUAAAUGGCUGAAACAGCACAGAGCCCACAGUAAUCUUAAUUGGAAAAAUUGGCAUAACUAAUGGAUUUGACACUUAUGGGCGCCCAAAACCUUGUAUCCAUAGCAGACCACUGGUCAUGAAAUGAAUACAUGGGCUGGAUUUAAUAUUCAAAUCAGUUGCUACAAACGACAUCUACAAAGCCAUGCAAUUAAUAAGUGUUACACAAUAGGAUUUACAGCCACAGAACUUUGCUUUAACUUGCACAAUAGUAAGAUAAUGGAACAGCAGAACAUUCAUUGCACCAGUGCCAGUCUCUAAAAGGCUGCCCUUUUUGUUUUUUACUGAUGACAAAAGCCUUGAGAAGGCUGAGAGAUUAAAACAAUUAGCAGUUCAAAGACCAUGUCUUGAAAUGCAUCAAACCAUUUAAUGUGACAGUUAACCAGAUAACCUGAAUGGAACGUCCGUUUCCCUGACAUGUCGGCCCUCAAGACACAUUCACUUAAUACAGUAUUAUAACAGUUAAGACACGUGCUUCCCACCCAGCUCCUCUGGGCCACCACCCAGCUCAAUUAGUCCACAGACUGAUGAUCAGUUUACCAAUUGAAUCAGGUGUGCCAGUUUAGAGUGAAAAAUGUCAGCCUGGGGGGCAAAAUGUAUUUUAACCCACAAUCUUAUUCAUCUUAAAACCAACACAGCAACUGUAAUGAAAAAUGUUCACCAAACUAAAAGGUGAGCGAUGAGAACCAAAUAUACAUUAAAGCGAAAGUAAACUACACUUAAAAUCCAGUGGACACAUUCAAAACAAACAGAUGUGGUCCAAAGACACCGAGGAACUUCUGCAGCAGGACAAUUCCCUCAAGUCCUCAACAGGCCGGGACAAGUGCAAUACCGUGAGGUCAAAGGGCAUUGCCGCCUAUCCCAACCGGCCGAGAAAGGGACUGCUAUUCCAAACGGAGGAUUUCCAGCCACUGCUGUGAUCAGUUUUGCAUGGAUUUGCACAGCAGUGCAUUGAAAAGCUGACCGCAAACCAGCAAAACUGACCAUAGCCCAGUGAUUCCGGCCCAGGCAAG
Molecule: long non-coding RNA, 1451 nt
Organism: Esox lucius (northern pike)
Lineage: Eukaryota; Metazoa; Chordata; Actinopteri; Esociformes; Esocidae
Source: Ensembl